CCUACGGGAGGCAGCAGUGAGGAAUAUUGGUCAAUAGACGAGAGUCUGAACCAGCCAAGUAGCGUGAAGGAUGACUGCCCUAUGGGUUGUAAACUUCUUUUAUAUGGGAAUAAAACGUUCCACGUGUGGGAUUUUGUAUGUACCAUAUGAAUAAGGAUCGGCUAACUCCGUGCCAGCAGCCGCGGUAAUACGGAGGAUCCGAGCGUUAUCCGGAUUUAUUGGGUUUAAAGGGAGCGUAGGUGGAUUGUUAAGUCAGUUGUGAAAGUUUGCGGCUCAACCGUAAAAUUGCAGUUGAAACUGGCAGUCUUGAGUACAGUAGAGGUGGGCGGAAUUCGUGGUGUAGCGGUGAAAUGCUUAGAUAUCACGAAGAACUCCGAUUGCGAAGGCAGUUCACUGGACUGCAACUGACACUGAGGCUCGAAAGUGUGGGUAUCAAACAGGAUUAGAUACCCCUGUAGUC
Molecule: ribosomal RNA, 460 nt
Filed under: uncultured bacterium
Lineage: Bacteria
Description: partial 16S ribosomal RNA
Rfam family: Bacterial small subunit ribosomal RNA
Source: RNAcentral